Molecule: transfer RNA, 60 nt
Filed under: Rhinebothroides sp. MZUSP 8014
Lineage: Eukaryota; Metazoa; Platyhelminthes; Cestoda; Rhinebothriidea; Rhinebothriidae
Description: tRNA-Tyr
Source: RNAcentral
UCUGAUUUAGCAUAUUAUUUUAAUGCAUUGGAUUGUAAAUCCAUAAAAAGUUUUAAGCUA